This 832-nucleotide ribosomal RNA is filed under the name uncultured bacterium. RNAcentral describes it as "bacterial SSU rRNA". It matches the Rfam family "Bacterial small subunit ribosomal RNA", at positions 21 to 896 of the family's 1533-position model. The record is from RNAcentral.
GGCUCAGGAUGAACGCUGGCGGUAUGCUUAACACAUGCAAGUCGAACGGUCUCUUCGGAGAUAGUGGCGGACGGGUGAGUAACGCGUAAGAAUCUACCUUCAGGUUGGGGACAACCACUGGAAACGGUGGCUAAUACCCAAUGUGCCGAGAGGUGAAAGGCUUGCUGCCUGAAGAAGAGCUUGCGUCUGAUUAGCUAGUAGGUGAGGUAAGAGCUUACCUAGGCGACGAUCAGUAGCUGGUCUGAGAGGAUGAUCAGCCACACUGGGACUGAGACACGGCCCAGACUCCUACGGGAGGCAGCAGUGGGGAAUUUUCCGCAAUGGGCGAAAGCUUGACGGAGCAAUACCGCGUGAGGGAGGAAGGCUCUUGGGUUGUAAACCUCUUUUCUCAGGGAAGAAAAAAAUGACGGUACCUGAGGAAUAAGCAUCGGCUAACUCCGUGCCAGCAGCCGCGGUAAUACGGAGGAUGCAAGCGUUAUCCGGAAUGAUUGGGCGUAAAGGGUCCGCAGGUGGCAUUGUAAGUCUGCUGUUAAAGAGUUUGGCUCAACCAAAUAAAAGCAGUGGAAACUACAAAGCUAGAGUCUGGUCGGGGCAGAGGGAAUUCCUGGUGUAGCGGUGAAAUGCGUAGAUAUCAGGAAGAACAUCGGUGGCGAAGGCGCUCUGCUAGGCCAAAACUGACACUGAGGGACGAAAGCUAGGGGAGCGAAUGGGAUUAGAUACCCCAGUAGUCCUAGCCGUAAACGAUGGAUACUAGGCGUAGCUCGUAUCGACCCGAGCUGUGCCGUAGCUAACGCGUUAAGUAUCCCGCCUGGGGAGUACGCAGGCCACUGUG